AGAGUUUGAUCCUGGCUCAGAACGAACGCUGGCGGCAGGCUUAACACAUGCAAGUCGAACGACAUAGUGGCAGACGGGUGAGUAAUGCUUGGGAACUUGCCUUUAGGUGGGGGAUAACAGUUGGAAACGACUGCUAAUACCGCAUAAUGUCUACGGACCAAAGGGGGCUUCGGCUCUCGCCUUGAGAGAGGCCCAAGUGAGAUUAGCUAGUUGGUGGGGUAAAGGCCUACCAAGGCAACGAUCUCUAGCUGUUCUGAGAGGAAGAUCAGCCACACUGGGACUGAGACACGGCCCAGACUCCUACGGGAGGCAGCAGUGGGGAAUAUUGCACAAUGGGGGAAACCCUGAUGCAGCCAUGCCGCGUGUGUGAAGAAGGCCUUCGGGUUGUAAAGCACUUUCAGUUGUGAGGAAAGGUUGGUAGUUAAUACCUGCCAGCUGUGACGUUAACAACAGAAGAAGCACCGGCUAACUCCGUGCCAGCAGCCGCGGUAAUACGGAGGGUGCGAGCGUUAAUCGGAAUUACUGGGCGUAAAGCGCACGCAGGCGGUUUGUUAAGCUAGAUGUGAAAGCCCCGGGCUCAACCCGGGAACUGCCUUUGAUACUGCCGAUCUUGAAUCCGGGAGAGGUGAGCGGAAUUCCAAGUGUAGAGGUGAAAUUCGUAGAUAUUUGGAAGAACACCGGUGGCGAAGGCGGCUCACUGGACCGGUAUUGACGCUGAUGUGCGAAAGUGUGGGUAGCGAACAGGAUUAGAUACCCUGGUAGUCCACACCGUAAACGCUGUCUACUAGCUGUUUGUGAAUUUAAUUCGUGAGUAGCGAAGCUAACGCGCUAAGUAGACCGCCUGGGGAGUACGGCCGCAAGGUUAAAACUCAAAGGAAUUGACGG
RNAcentral lists this ribosomal RNA (885 nucleotides) under uncultured Alteromonas sp. RNAcentral describes it as "bacterial SSU rRNA". It matches the Rfam family "Bacterial small subunit ribosomal RNA", at positions 8 to 916 of the family's 1533-position model. Lineage: Bacteria; Pseudomonadati; Pseudomonadota; Gammaproteobacteria; Alteromonadales; Alteromonadaceae. The record is from RNAcentral.